RNAcentral lists this non-coding RNA (30 nucleotides) under Mus musculus (house mouse). The record is from RNAcentral. Lineage: Eukaryota; Metazoa; Chordata; Mammalia; Rodentia; Muridae.
UGGGUCCUCUCUAAGGAUGCUCCAUGCUCC